This 362-nucleotide long non-coding RNA is filed under the name Homo sapiens (human). RNAcentral describes it as "non-protein coding lnc-MYO7B-2:12". The record is from RNAcentral. Lineage: Eukaryota; Metazoa; Chordata; Mammalia; Primates; Hominidae.
CCUAGCCUCCUGCCUCUCUAACAGCCAAUGGCGACCAAGUCCUAGCAGUCCUAUCUCUAAAGGUCCUCGCUAUCUGUCAUCUCCCCUUCAUUUUCCCAGUUACUCCAGUUACUGUCCUACUGAAGGACCCCCAUCCCAUCUGGGCUACUAUAACCACAUGGACCAUCCCUUGCUUCAAUCAUAGAAUUCUUUCUUCAGAUCAAAGUAUAUUCAGACACUCGAUACAGUAACAAAAGCAAGCUAUCCUGGAAGGAAGAAGGAAUCAGGAGGCAGAGCACAUGGUUAAAGCAUGAGAUGUGAAACCAGGAAGAACCAGGUCUGAACCUUAGCUCCACCAGUGGUAGCUUCAAACCUUGGUCCUU